RNAcentral lists this ribosomal RNA (498 nucleotides) under uncultured bacterium. RNAcentral's name for it is "partial 16S ribosomal RNA". It matches the Rfam family "Bacterial small subunit ribosomal RNA", at positions 28 to 507 of the family's 1533-position model. The record is from RNAcentral.
GACGAACGCUGGCGGCGUGCCUAAUACAUGCGAGUCGAGCGGACGGAUGGGAGCUUGCUCCCAGACCGUCAGCGGCGGACAGGUGAGUAACACGUGGGCAACCUGCCUGUAAGACUGGGAUAACUCCGGGAAACCGGGGCUAAUACCGGAUAACUCUUUCCCUCACAUGAGGGAAAGCUGAAAGAUGGCAUCUCGCUAUCACUUACAGAUGGGCCCGCGGCGCAUUAGCUAGUUGGUGAGGUAACGGCUCACCAAGGCGACGAUGCGUAGCCGACCUGAGAGGGUGAUCGGCCACACUGGGACUGAGACACGGCCCAGACUCCUACGGGAGGCAGCAGUAGGGAAUCUUCCGCAAUGGACGAAAGUCUGACGGAGCAACGCCGCGUGAGUGAUGAAGGUUUUCGGAUCGUAAAACUCUGUUGUCAGGGAAGAACAAGUACCGGAGUAACUGCCGGUACCUUGACGGUACCUGACCAGAAAGCCACGGCUAACUACGUG